GGGUGAGUAACACGUGGGUGAUCUGCCCUGCACUUCGGGAUAAGCUUGGGAAACUGGGUCUAAUACCGGAUAGGAGCCAUCUUUAGUGUGGUGGUUGGAAAGUUUUUUCGGUGUAGGAUGAGCUCGCGGCCUAUCAGCUUGUUGGUGGAGUAAUGGCCUACCAAGGCGGCGACGGGUAGCCGGCCUGAGAGGGUGUACGGCCACAUUGGGACUGAGAUACGGCCCAG
RNAcentral lists this ribosomal RNA (227 nucleotides) under uncultured Actinomycetales bacterium. Its description in RNAcentral is "partial 16S ribosomal RNA". It matches the Rfam family "Bacterial small subunit ribosomal RNA", at positions 104 to 334 of the family's 1533-position model. The record is from RNAcentral. Lineage: Bacteria; Bacillati; Actinomycetota; Actinomycetes; Actinomycetales.